AUUUUUCGUUUCUGGUUU
Molecule: small RNA, 18 nt
Filed under: Arabidopsis thaliana (thale cress)
Lineage: Eukaryota; Viridiplantae; Streptophyta; Magnoliopsida; Brassicales; Brassicaceae
Description: ATSL027480
Source: RNAcentral